GAAAGGGUAAGUUAAAAUAAACUUUAUGGUUCAUGUUCAUAGAAUAUGCUUGGCAUCCCUUUUU
This 64-nucleotide transfer RNA is filed under the name Holostephanus sp. FJ-2023. RNAcentral's name for it is "tRNA-Met". The record is from RNAcentral. Lineage: Eukaryota; Metazoa; Platyhelminthes; Trematoda; Diplostomida; Cyathocotylidae.